GAUGAACGCUGGCGGCGUGCCUAAUACAUGCAAGUCGAGCGAACAGAUGAGGAGCUUGCUCCACUGACGUUAGCGGCGGACGGGUGAGUAACACGUGGAUAACCUACCUAUAAGACUGGGAUAACUUCGGGAAACCGGAGCUAAUACCGGAUAAUAUAUUGAACCGCAUGGUUCAAUAGUGAAAGACGGUUUUGCUGUCACUUAUAGAUGGAUCCGCGCCGCAUUAGCUAGUUGGUAAGGUAACGGCUUACCAAGGCAACGAUGCGUAGCCGACCUGAGAGGGUGAUCGGCCCCACUGGAACUGAGACACGGUCCAGACUCCUACGGGAGGCAGCAGUAGGGAAUCUUCCGCAAUGGGCGAAAGCCUGACGGAGCAACGCCGCGUGAUUGAUGAAGGUCUUCGGAUCGUAAAACUCUGUUAUUAGGGAAGAACAAAUGUGUAAGUAACUAUGCACGUCUUGACGGUACCUAAUCAGAAAGCCACGGCUAACUACGUG
RNAcentral lists this ribosomal RNA (497 nucleotides) under uncultured bacterium. RNAcentral's name for it is "partial 16S ribosomal RNA". It matches the Rfam family "Bacterial small subunit ribosomal RNA", at positions 28 to 507 of the family's 1533-position model. The record is from RNAcentral.